Molecule: long non-coding RNA, 371 nt
Filed under: Penaeus japonicus
Lineage: Eukaryota; Metazoa; Arthropoda; Malacostraca; Decapoda; Penaeidae
Description: uncharacterized LOC122262467
Source: RNAcentral
UACCUCGACCACACUUACUUCGGUUCUCGACUGAGCACAUUCUCCGGUCGACCAUGAACAAGCGCAUUCUCCUUUUGCUUGCUGUGUCUAUGCUACUGGUGACGGUGGCUAGAGCAAAGAAUGGCCUUGGAGCAAGAUCAGACAUUGAAGAAAUAAAGGAUGGCCUUGAAGCAAAAUCAGACAUUGAAGAAAGAAAGAAUGGAAUACGAUCAUUCGUUGCAGUAAGAAAUAUUGGCGUUGGACCAAGAAAUAAUGGCCUUUGAGCAAAGAUUUGGCCCACCACGUUCAAAGGGGAAGUAUAUACUUCCCUGAACGAAGGUGAUGAUGGUGAUAUGGGAUGGUGGAAGUCAAUAAUAUCACAGCAAACCAAA